UUAUACUACGGUGGCUUCUAUAUGGCUCCAGAUAAGUAUAGUUUACAAUUAUAUUGCAAUUUAUAACAUGACAAUAGUCUUUGACACUUGAAUAAUGUACUUAACUAUGCAGGUUGCAACACGAUCUAAUUGCGUAACGAUAUUCCAAGUUCUCCAAAUAUCGUAUAUGUUAAGUAUGUCCGUAUUUCUGCAAAAAGGUGACAAUAUGUCUAAAUUGUAACAAUAUUUUUUAUGUUGUGUCUACUUUCUCAUUAUUCCUUUCAUGUUAUAUAUCUAUAUGUCCAAGCAAUGUAUCAAUUCCCGAUAUGUACAUACUAUGCUGUAAACCAGUGUUCCUGGUUAUUUGAUUAAUUGUCGCCAUUCAAUGUCGUUUCCGAUUAAUAAUAAAUGUAUGACGUCAUAUGUUUUUAAAACAUAGUUUUAGAAUUACAAAAAAACAACAUGUGUUGGCUUUUAUGUGAUUUAAUAUAUAUAUAUCAUACCAUUACUGUUUCAAAUAUAUGUAUUAUUUAACUUUAGUCGGUAACUGUCAAGUACCAAAUCCAAAAAUAAAACUAAAAAUUUUGAGCAUUUGUUGUCAUAGGAAUCAUAUGACAAAUGGCAGUCGUCUUAUAAAAGUGGAAAAAGGUGAUAGUUGCAAUGUUUGAAAAUUGUUAUCAAGAUGCAUAAAUAACACUCAGUCUGUUAUUUUGCUUAUAAAAAAAUAAAAAAAAAAACUUGAAUACUUUCAUUUGAUAAAUUAUGUGUUCAGUCAUUAAUCUAUUAGCCAAUAGGAUUAACAUUACAAAAUGUGGUAGAAUUGCCAAUAAGACAGCUACCCAAUAUAGAGUAAAUUAUGUUGAUGGUAGUUGCAAUAAGUCACAUUACAGGCUUUUGCAAUAGUGAGAAAUACAAAUACCGUAUAUUAAGUAAGCUAAACAAAAUCCCAAAAAGACAAUAUGUGAACCGUUUCAAACUAUAGAACUUACACUGUUAGGUCCGAUAGGUAAAUAAAUUUUGACAAAAGUCCGACGAUGAUAUAAUAUGUUCUCAUUGUAGCUGUACCUGUGGAAAAUUGAUGGAUUUCAUAAGACAAAAGUGACAGCCAGUAAUAAACGUUAGCGAAACUACGAAAUGAUGGAAAACACUUCCUUCCGAUGCAAAAACAAUAUUAAACAAUCUGAAUAUAUAGUUUCCUUGUCUUAUUUGCAUGCACGUUUUAUGUUUAAAAUAUAUAUGUUUCUGAUACAUCAAAAUAGAAACUUUACAUUGUUUUUCCUAAAAUCUGUUUCAACCACAAAAGAGUUAUGUCGUACGUGUUGCAUCACACGAAUCAUUCAUACUUUGAUAUUGUCUUAUGUCAGAUAAUUAUUAAAUGCUCUCUCAUGACUGAGUAUUAUAUCAAAUUCAAAAUAAUUAGCUACACUUCUAACCAAUCAAGUGUAAUAUAACUACAAUUUAUAUCCUAAUGUCCGUUACUCAUUCAAAUUGAUUUCACUUUUCUAUUUAUCCUACCGAUAAUGUUAUUAUAGAACUUAACGUAUUGAAAAAGCAUUUUAUAUUGUCGGAAUAGUCUUGAAGCAAUUGAUUAGAGGCAAAUCAAUAUUGUAGACUUUUAUAGUACUUCAAGUUGUUAUUAAAAUUGUACACAAUAUGUCUAUAACCUUACAAUGUAUUUCUUAAUGUGAAUUCAAUUAUCAUACAUAUAUUUGAUGUAUACGUUGUUUCUGUCAUUAAACUAGUAAACAUGUAGAUUGAAAUUGUAUUAUAUUUAACGCGCGGGACUACUAUAAAUAUUUAUAUGUAUAUGCAUGUUAGUUUUCUUGUUUUAUAAAAUGUAAUGAUUA
This is a long non-coding RNA of Mytilus californianus (California mussel), 1826 nucleotides long. RefSeq lists it as uncharacterized. The transcript has 2 exons. NCBI's taxonomy places the organism in Eukaryota, Metazoa, Mollusca, Bivalvia, Mytilida, Mytilidae. The record is from RefSeq and is a predicted model, not a curated record.